This 1760-nucleotide ribosomal RNA is filed under the name Myxobolus prochilodus. Its description in RNAcentral is "SSU rRNA". It matches the Rfam family "Eukaryotic small subunit ribosomal RNA", at positions 185 to 1727 of the family's 1831-position model. Lineage: Eukaryota; Metazoa; Cnidaria; Myxozoa; Bivalvulida; Myxobolidae. The record is from RNAcentral.
GUACUUUGUGCGUGUUGUGUGCAUUUAUUGGAUAAAACCAGAUGCUGCUCUACUUAACUUUGGUUGGGUGGAGUAGGUAAGGUGAUUCUAGAUAACUGAGCAGAUCGCAUGACUUAAGGUCGGCGACAUUUCGAUUGAAUUUCUGCCCUAUCAACUUGAUGGUAAGGUAGUGGCUUACCAUGGUUGCAACGGGUAACGGGGGAUCAGGGUUCGAUUCCGGAGAGGGAGCCUGAGAAACGGCUACCACAUCCAAGGAAGGCAGCAGGCGCGAAAAUUACCCAAUCCAGACGAUGGGAGGUGGUGACCAGAAGUACUAGGUGGUAUAUAUUAUAUACCGACCUUGGAAUGAGCUUAAAGUAAAAAGUUAGUCGAGUAACUACUGGAGGGCAAGUCUGGUGCCAGCAGCCGCGGUAAUUCCAGCUCCAGUAGCAUGUCGUAAAGUUGUUGCGUUUAAAACGCUCGUAGUUGGAUAAUUGAAUGUAUGCUAGUUGAUUUACUGUUUUGACUUUUACAUUUGUUGUGUAGCAUUAUGCUGUGUGAUGGGUGUGGGUCUAAAGAUGGUGGAUUUUAGGCUAGUUUGCAUUUGUUACGUGUAAGGAUGGUGAUUGACCUUGAGUGAGUUGAUCGCUAUAUCUUGCAGAGUGUGCCUUGAAUAAAUCAGAGUGCUUAAAGCAGGUGAAUUGCCUGAAUGAUACAGCAUGGAACGAACAAUAGUGUAGGUAUACAUGGAGAAUCAAUUUUGAUGUCACUGUGUAUACAUCACCAACCACCUGUAUGGAUGUUGGUUUCCGUUGCAGGGGUGAUGAUUAAAACGAGCGAUUGGGGGCAUUGGUAUUUGGCAGCGAGAGGUGAAAUUCUUAGACCGGCCAAGGACUAACAAAAGCGAAGGCAUUUGCCAAGAUCGUCUCGAUUGAUCAAGAACGAAAGGGAAAGGUUCGACGGAGAUUAGAGACCUCUUUAGUUUUCCCUGUAAACUAUGCCGACCCGGGAUCAGUUUUAAGCUAGUAACUACGCUUGAGGUUGGUCCCCCUGGGAAACCUAAAGUUUUUGGGUUACGGGGGGAGUAUGGUCGCAAGGCUGAAACUUAAAGGAAUUGACGGAAGGGCACCACCAGGGGUGGAGCCUGCGGCUUAAUUUGACUCAACACGGGAAAACUUACCAGAUCAGGAUGCCGGGAUGAUAAACAGACUGUAGAUCUUUUUUGAUUCGGUAACAAGUGGUGCAUGGCCGUUCUUAGUUCGUGGAGUGAUUUGUCGGGUCUAUUCCGAUAACGGACGAGACCUAAGCGUCCGUUUACAGUGUGAUGUGUACGUAUUUUUUGUACGUACAAUUAACAAAUGUAUGUAAUUGUGUGGAAUAGGUGAAAAAAAGCGGGUAAAACUGUUUUUUGAAUCUAUUUUUCAUUUUGAUGUACAUAUUUGUUGAAUCAUUACAAUGUCCUAUGCUGUAAAAGGUGUAGGAUUGCACGGACGGACAACUUYRUKUAUUGUAAAAUCAGAGGAAGUUAGGCUAUAACAGGUCUGUGAUGCCCUUAGACGUUCUGGGCUGCACGCGCGCUACAAUGAUAACAGCAACGAGUGAUCUUGUCCGAGAGGACUAGGGAAUCUUGAAAUUGUUAUCGUGAUGGGGAUUGUUGGUUGUAAAUCUGACAUGAAAUAGGAAUCCCUUGUACGUGCACUUCAUCUAAAGUGCGCGGAAUGAGUCCCUGCCCUUUGUACACACCGCCCGUCGCUACUACCGAGUGAAUCGUGUCAUGAUGC